Molecule: ribosomal RNA, 305 nt
Filed under: uncultured bacterium
Lineage: Bacteria
Description: bacterial SSU rRNA
Rfam family: Bacterial small subunit ribosomal RNA
Source: RNAcentral
UACUUCCUACGGGGCGCAGCAGUGGGGAAUAUUGCACAAUGGGGGAAACCCUGAUGCAGCGAUGCCGCGUGGAGGAAGAAGGGUUUCGGAUUGUAAACUCCUUUUAUCAGGGACGAUAAUGACGGUACCUGAAGAAGAAGCCCCGGCUAACUACGUGCCAGCAGCCGCGGUAAUACGUAGGGGGCAAGCGUUAUCCGGAUUUACUGGGUGUAAAGGGGGCGCAGACGGCGAUGCAAGCCAGGAGUGAAAGCCCGGGGCCCAACCCCGGGACUGCUCUUGGAACUGCGUGGCUGGAGUGCAGGAGG